RNAcentral lists this ribosomal RNA (260 nucleotides) under uncultured bacterium. Its description in RNAcentral is "partial 16S ribosomal RNA". The record is from RNAcentral.
CUGCUGCCUCCCGUAGGAGUUUGGGCCGUGUCUCAGUCCCAAUGUGGCCGUUCACCCUCUCAGGCCGGCUACUGAUCGUCGCUUUGGUAGGCCGUUACCCUGCCAACUGGCUAAUCAGACGCGGGUCCAUCUCACACCGAUAAAUCUUUUCCAACCAGAGCAUGCGCCCCUGUUGGCUUAUGCGGUAUUAGCGGUCGUUUCCAACUGUUAUCCCCCUGUGUGAGGCAGGUUACCCACGCGUUACUCACCCGUCCGCCACU